Long non-coding RNA from Oncorhynchus nerka (sockeye salmon), 7753 nucleotides. RefSeq lists it as uncharacterized. NCBI's taxonomy places the organism in Eukaryota, Metazoa, Chordata, Actinopteri, Salmoniformes, Salmonidae. The record is from RefSeq and is a predicted model, not a curated record. The transcript is spliced from 2 exons.
UGUCAGACUUUAGAUGAAUGAGAAUCCUAAACUGAGAGAAAACGUUGGGCGUUUGAAUUUGGGUUAUUUUCUGUUGUCUAGAUGUCGGAGUAACAACUUCAGAUAACUGUGAAAAUGGGUAUAUUUGCGGAGAGUCUCAGUCAAAUUCCAUUGUGCUGGUAGGGGAAUGGUGAGCGCGGCAGUCUCACCUACGGUAAUCCACGGUUCGGUUCCCGUUUAACUAAAAUUGAUUUUAGAUCGUAAUUGACCUAUUUGCAUGUUUUGCCUGAAAAAUACGGUCGCCAGUGUUUGCAAAAGAUAUAACUGAACGGAUAUUAUGUGUUCUAGAUAGAAUUGACAAAAGAAGUCAUUAAAAAUAAUGGCGAGACAAUUUCUAUGUAAAACGCUAUUUCGCCCAAAAUGAUCUGGUGGAAUAAUGUAUUGAGAUGGGAGUCGUAAUUAAAUAGAUGUAACAUAGAAGAGAGAGAGUUGUCUGGAGUUGAAUGGAGGGGAUAACGGGGAGAUACGAUGCAGUUCCAGCCUGCCUGGACGUUACGGCUAAUUAUGAAUCAAUUGACAUGAUAAGUUUAACACAAAAACAUGGUACGUUUAACGUUAGGGUAUAGUAAAUUGAGAAGUUCGGUUGGGUUUACUCUGAUGAUUAGAAUUUAAAACUGAACUCAAUCUGAAUAGGGAAUAUAUAUUUUACAAAGGCGGGCAGAUUUGUGUCUAUAGCCAAGCAACGGAAUUGCUAGACACUCAAUGGGGCUAUAUAGUGCAACGCUUUGGACUAUAAAUUAGGUAAGAAUAGUUUAAUCGUAAGAAGUUGUGAUUGUUUUUCUGAUUAUUGAUUUUUGGUUAAGGUAACAACAGUGAAUUUGAACAAAAAGUAACGUAUUCUAAAAAUGAUCUGAUUUCCGUUCUCGUUGCGGGGAACAAAUGAAAAGUCUUAUCUUAAAGGGACAGUGCACGGUAAUCACAGUGGUUUGAGUGUAUGACAAGUGGGAAAAAAUAUUGUGGGACGACAAUUCAAAGAGAGAAAAAUAAGUUACAUGAAACAUCAAGAGAUUUAAAACGAACGACGUGAAGGGAUCAUAAGAAUUAUUGGGUGUCGUUGUAGGAGUAAAUGUUUGGGUUAAGGGGAUUUCCCUGUUCCCAGAGACAAGGCAUUUUUAAGGCGAGCACUCACUAAUGCUGGCCUGAGUUGUAAUUAGACAAGUGAAUAACGUAUUGGGAAUAGAGUUGUAAUUAAAAUACUAAGUCAAAGACGAGACAGGUAUUUAGAGCAAAAUGGAUUCUAAAUGAUAACAAAGAGACCAUUAUGAUUUAUGCCCAUCGAAAAGCUUUUAUAAAAUUGGCGAAUUUAGAAAUGUUGGUUGGGGUGGUAAAUUAUAAUUCAGGAUUAGAACAGAUGUGAUAAAUUAGGGUUGGUUAAUCGAACAAGAAUUAUUUACAAUCCAUUUGAAGUCGCUACGAAUUGGCAGGUUGAGCGCUUGAUGAUGACGUCACUAGCGCGACACUUUUGUCACCAGAGACUGGGAAUAACGGAGCAAACUGUAAUGGCUAUUAGUGUGUGUAUCGAGGCUUCGAGUAACCUUUCAGAAGUUGAGAUAAAAGUGUUUUGUUUAUUUGUUUAUUGGUUAUAGUCAAUUUUUGGGUUUGAUUUAACUUAGUUGAACAGUGUGUUCUGGCGGGGUUUAGGUAGAACUCUUUGUUCCGGAACGGAUGAAAGUUACCCAUAAGUAAAUAAAUUAAAAGAGCCAUGAGGGAAUGCAAAUGCAUAUUUAUUAAAUAUCGGGGAUUAAAUUACGGAUUCCUUACACUGCGAAAUGUACGACAUUUGCGGCAGAGAGAAAAAGUAAUGCAUUGGAUAAUAAUGUUAUCGGGUUAAUUGUAUCUAAAGGUAGCAUGGCCAUUUAAGCAAACAUAUCCGUAGACGAUGUUCAAAACUUAUGAUUAAUGAUUUGAGUCAAAGGGGAAUUAUCAUUAGGUUUUAGUUAUAGUUCACUUAUUGAGUUUCUGAUUCGAGGUAGCAUUAUUGAAUGUUAGUGCAAGUAGAUUUUAAAGAGGCACGCUCACAUAUGGAACCUUAUGAGAUGUUUUUUUAUGGGUUUGAAUCACACAAGUGACUAUUUCUAUUGUAAGGAUAAAGGGAUCUUUAUGUCUAAUAUGGUAUGACCUUUUGACCUUAUCAUGACUGGCUUCUGGGGUCUGAUCAGCCCCAGGGGAGAGUCAUUUGUAUAAUGAAUGGUGUCAUAUUGAGUUACUAGUGUUAAGGUAAAUUCAUUAGAAAUGAAGCAGUUUUGGUUGAGGGUUUAGAAUUACUGUUUGAACCGCAAAUGAGAAAGUGGUUCAGGAUUCUGUCUUAUAACAUUAGCUGUGAAGUUUUUUUGAAUGGGCUAUUAGGAAGUUGGUUUUGUAACAGAGAGAAAGUCAUAUUCAUCAUUUAGAAUAAAUAGGGGAAGAUAACAUAUUCUGGGCCAACAGGGCAGGGAAGAAAUUGAGGUAUUUUUGUUUGAUUUUAACACCCGUGUACAGGAGUGUCAAAAGAUGGGGGACAUUACCUGUGUAAUGGGGGAGGGUGUCCGUAUGGGGAUUACAUGAUAACCAAUUUGGGACAGUUCUGGGACUGGAGAAGAGGAUAUCCUUAUGGCAUAGGGAAUCCCACAAAGGCACUUACAUCCCCGGACUACAAAGGACGAGGACAGACAUGAUGGGUGUGUUUUCUAUUAAGGUACUGCCAAGACCAGAGGUAGCCGGACACACUCCUCUACCACCACUGUGUUAAAAAUACCAUUCAGGUAAUUAAUGUUAGAGACUAUUCGGCUAUUGAUCAAUUAGGCAUUGAGACUGGUUUUGAUGGUAGGGACAAUUUGUGGUUGUAGAAGAAAGGACUGCAUUAUUUGUAGUCAUGCUAGACCUGUUCUGGCUACACACCCAUUUGCUGUAGGAGAAUGAGAGGGGUGGUUGUGUAUUCUGAGAAGUUGUUACCAGGUUAAGCCCAAUUCAACCCUCUGUUCCUCUUUGAGCCCUGUGUUUCCUGCAGUACCUCGCUGGGGCCUCUUGGGGUGUUGAGGCAUAUGGGGGCAAUUACGAGUGCAUCACGGGUACAGGUAAUGGCAUUGAUUAUGGGAGAUUGCCUGAAGCUGAUUGCAGUAGUAACAUAACCAUUAAUUCCACUUGGCCAGUUACAGGCUGAUGUGAGGUGGAUGAGUGGAGCCAAAAGAGUGCUGAGACCCAUUCUUAGAGGAGAAUGGCAAGGUACGUGUGGUCUGACCAGUUUGAUAAUUCCACUGACCAUUGUUGAUGUUGCUGCUGAACAGCUGUUGGGUUCUGUAUCCAGGGGACCUGAAAACACUCCAUCCCAUGGGACACAUAGAUGUAGUGCUCCAUGGACAGAGGAUGUAGUUGACAUACACACUAACCUGUUGGGAGUACCAGUGGGGAUUCCUCAUGAGUUUCAGGCCUUGGAUAGGAAUGAUGGACUCUGGCACUUACUACCUACUAUGGGUCUAGCCAUAGUGGAUGCUAGACAGACUGCAUGGAUUAAUUAUAUCUACUAUAAUCAACAGCGUUUUGUGAAUUACUCCCGUGAUGCACUCACUAGUAUGUCUGAACAGCUUGGGGCCACAUUUGGGGUUUCCAGACAGAAUAGAUUUGCCUUGGAUAUGCUUCUUGCCAGUCAGGGGGACGUUUGCAAGAUGUUCGGUAAACAAUGUUGCACGUAUAUUCCUAAUAAUACCAGUCCAGAUGAUAUCUAAGGCGGGCUUGAUGCACUAUCUGCUAAGACGAGGUCCACGGGGGGGGUGGAGGAGUCUGUUCUCUUGGCCUGGUUUGGUAAGUACACUGAUAUGAUGGUUACUGGAUUUCUGACCCUAAUUCUUGUAUUAUUUGUUAUUGAUGUCAUGUGCUGCUUGCAUCAUACCGUGUUAUUAGAAGUCUGUUACAGAUGUGUUGAAGGCUUCAGGCAUGAUACCUUUGCUUGAUGCUCCAGUUGGAGAGGCUGAGGUGAAGCAUGCCUUGAGGGAAGGAUAAGACUGACUGAGGAUGACCCAUGUAUGUUUGUUCUCCCUGUCGUGAAGGGUGGCAUGGUGCCCACCUGGUGCUGGAUAAGAAUAGCUGAGAGGACCAGAUGGGUUAUAAGAAUGCUUUGUUCUGCUUUACUCUGUUUUACAGGACCAAAGUUUUAUUCCACACUUUGCAACACAUUAAAUCCAUGUUAUGGUCAGAUAGAAUAAUGAGGGUCCCCAAGGAGAGGGCUUGUUAGUGUAGGAAGGAUUUUUAAUAUGGUUAGCAUUUAUUAGAUUAUAAGUUUUUAAAUGGUAUUGUAUUUGGCAGGAAUAUAGGACAUCUAUGAGGAGUUAGGAUUAUUGUUAGGAUUAAGGAAUUUGGAGAAAAGCAGCUCAUAGACAUGUUUUUUUCUCUAAAAGAGGGUCCAUGGGUUUGGAUGGAGCCAAACAGUGAGACAUGAGUAACAUAGCUAGGCAGACAGAGGAGCCAUCCCCCGCACUGCAGAGACCUUGAAGGUUGGAGAGCAGAGAAGUUUUACAGGGAGACGAGCAAAGCCAGGACGAGCAAAGAUAGCAUAAUGGGUGGAUAGAGUUGCUGGGUGGAGACAGGGGUGAGAGUUGGACAUGUGGAAAAUGAAAGGGACACUCCUAAAUGGAAUUUCAGACAUAAGGAUAAUUCACUAAAUCUUAUCUAAGUCAUUGUAUAAGAAUAAGGCAAGGUUGUUACCUGGGCAGAGCCAGGUAACAAAAGGGGGAUGGGUAAAUAGUGUUCUAGAAUAGGAUGUGACCUACGGGAUAAUUAACUAAUAUAAAAAAUAAAAAAAUGUUAAUUGGUUUGACGAAUAAGAAACUAUUUAUAGCGACAAUGGUUCCCAUUUUUCUAAUCAAGUAAUUGAUCAUAUAGGUCAGAAAUUGGAUAUAAAUAUGAAGAAACGUUGUUCUUAUCACCCCCAAAGCGCUGGCCUUAUCGAGAACAUGAAUCGAUCGGUAAAAGGUCGAUUAAGGAAAACACACCUAAGUACUGGAAUGAACUGGGUAAAAUGCCUGCCCAUAGUGUUAAUGACUAUUAGAAUAACCCCUGAUAGGGAGGGGCUAUCUCCAUUUGAGAAGGUUUUUGGUAGACCCUAUAGAAUGCCCCAAUUAGGGCGAUUGGAGGAAGCAAAUGUAGAAAUAGAAAGCAGUAUGGUGGAACACAUAUGAGGUUGUUCAUUAAUCAAACACGUAUGUCAAAAGUUUUAUGCCCAGCAGGAGAACUACAGAGGGAGGUGGCACACGAGAUUCAACCAGGAGACUGGAUCUGGGUCCAAUCGCUAAAGAGAAAAAACUGGAAACAGCCUCGGUGGGAGGGACCAUUCCAAGUACUACUGGUGACUGCCUUCGCUGUGAGAUUAGCCGAAAGAGCUACCUGGGUGCAUAUCACACAUUGUAAGAGGGUGAGUCACACUAGCACUGUCGGACGAUCACAGGAGUUGGAGAGGAACCGUGACCCAUAUGGAACGGGGGUCAAACUCCUUCUGAAGAUUCCCUAUACCCGACCUUUCCCCAGCUGUGAGCGUUCAUAGAAGUGAAGUGAUGGCUUGGCCUCUGGCUGUUGAUAUGUUCUCGGGGAGAGGGUGGGGCUUCACGUGCGCACUGACCGUCCUGAGCUGUUUUAUUGUGGGGGCCAUAUUCCUGAUUCACCAUGAUCCCCCGGAAAGUGCCAAAGAGGAUAAUUUGACUCAUGUGCUAGAUGAGGGAAAUGGGAUGUUACCUAAGAUUCUCAGAAGGUCACUGAAACAAAAUAGUAAGGAAGUGAGGGUGGAAUUGGGCAAGGAUCUCUCAGUAGAAUUUUGUGUAGACCAAUUGGGGUCAUUCACCCCUUGGCAGUCUAGAACCAUGGGACUCUAUGGGAAGUAUUUGUGUAAAUCACCGUGUAAGUCGUGGAGCCAGGUCAUAGCUCACACUGAAAGGGAUGGCUACGUAAACCCAUACACUCAAUUUGGGACCAGGUGGAGACUGGGUUUGGGGAGUCCAACUUAUGGAUUCAAUAUACGGCCAGAUCAGUGGCUAAAGAAGAAUGUUAUGUCUGUGCGAACGCUAAACCCCAGUUAACAACUAUCCCUAUCCCACUGAACGGAAUUAAUUCCCCUAAGGGAAUGGCAUGUAUGGUAAAGCUGUUCAUGAAAGCAGGAAUGCCAGAUAAUGACAGUUGUAAAAUGGGCCAGUGUCGCCAUCUGGUGGUUGUGCGGGGGAAUGAGUUUGACUGAUUGGACUGGUUAGGAAUGCAUUUUACACUCAUACAACAACAAGACAUGAAGUUAGCCAAACGAGAGAAAAGAGAUGCUCCAUCUUGGUCUUUUGACGACAGAGUAUAUAUUGAUAACAUUGGGGUUCCACGAGAGGUGCCGGAUGAGUUCAAGGCAAGAAAUCAGAUACUAGCAGGAUUAGAGUCAAGUAUUUUUAGAGUGGUCUACUCUCAAUCAGAAUGUAGACUGGAUUAAUUAUAGUUACCAGAAGGGUUAUUAAAGGGUUUGUAGAACAGACUGAAGCAAUCAGCUGGAAGACCUGACAGAACAGAAUUUGCAUUAGAUAAAAGGAGAAAGUGGGCGUGGUAAUCAGGACCGUGUCUUACAUCCCAGGUAGCACAGCUCCGGACGAAUCAGUGCCCGAAGCCUCAGCUGUUUUGACCACCCUGGCUCACAGAUUGGCAGAAACUCUGGGGUGGAUACUUCUCUGAACUAAAUUGGGUAGACAGUAUUUAUGGAAAAAUGUGCUGUUAUGGGCCACUUUAACCGGUGUGACUGUGUUAGUCUUGUACGUACGUGGUUGAUUGCGUGUAUGUAUGAAAGUUAUUGUUUCCGGGACUCUGGAGAGAUCAAUGACACUACAGAUUCCAGAUUCCAGGUUCUGACCCAUGGAGGACUGAAGGCAUGUCUACAGAGGAAGUGGACGAAUCCGGAUCUGUCAUUUGUGGGGAAUUUAUGUUUGAUGAGAAUAGUGUUGAGAUGUAGGGGAAUUGGAUUGUAAUUUGUUUCAAUGAUUAAACUGUUUUUUAAUAAAGAUUGUAAAAAGAAAAAAGAUCCUGAAAGAGGAGUUAUGAUUCUGAUGCAGGUUUAAAAACAGUUGGAGUUAAGGUUAGAAUUGAUUAAUGAAAUGUGGAGAGUUGGAUAAACAUUUAUAAUUGAUUUGUUGAUUAUUUGUCUAUUCAUAUGAUAAUCUGAUAAACCUCUAUAAAAAGGUUAAUUAAGUUGUUUAUACUUUCAUUUUUUAUGAUUAAAUAAAACUAGAUGUAGAAUUGAAUGUAUAAUAUUUGAUCAAAGGGAGGAUUGAUAGAGGAAAAUAUAGUUUAGAUAAUCAAUUAUGUAUACAUUAAUGAUUAGAACCAUUCAUGCUAAUACUUAUGUUAUGAUUUGAAAAGUAUGGGUUCUUAAUUGUACUGUUACUGAAAAUGUAAGCAGAAAUGAAUUGUGUCUGUGUCUCCUGGGAAAGGGAUAAGAUCGUUUUUCAAACUGAUGAGAAUGUUUUGGUUGGAUUCCAUUAGGGGAGAGGAGUUUAUCCUUUAGGCAGGUUGGAAUGUAGAGUUAACGUGGGAGCGAGGCUGUGGCGGUCCGACAGAUAAGAAAUGUCUGGGAGACGUUCCAGGCCUGAUGAACAAUGGGCUCUUGUGAGAAUCAGAGAGAGGGUGUAACUGAUGACGUCAUUUUAUGUUCACUUCCUUUAAAAUGUAAUGUUCUUUGUAUUUUGGGUCAGUACUCAUCAAGAAUAAAUGCUGAACUUGUUUUUAA